Molecule: ribosomal RNA, 484 nt
Filed under: uncultured organism
Description: bacterial SSU rRNA
Rfam family: Bacterial small subunit ribosomal RNA
Source: RNAcentral
AUUGAACGCUGGCGGCAGGCCUAACACAUGCAAGUCGAGCGGAUGAGAAGAGCUUGCUCUUCGAUUCAGCGGCGGACGGGUGAGUAAUACCUAGGAAUCUGCCUGGUAGUGGGGGACAACGUUUCGAAAGGAACGCUAAUACCGCAUACGCCCUACGGGGGAAAGCAGGGGACCUUCGGGCCUUGCGCUAUCAGAUGAGCCUAGGUCGGAUUAGCUAGUUGGUGAGGUAAUGGCUCACCAAGGCGACGAUCCGUAACUGGUCUGAGAGGAUGAUCAGUCACACUGGAACUGAGACACGGUCCAGACUCCUACGGGAGGCAGCAGUGGGGAAUAUUGGACAAUGGGCGAAAGCCUGAUCCAGCCAUGCCGCGUGUGUGAAGAAGGUCUUCGGAUUGUAAAGCACUUUAAGUUGGGAGGAAGGGUACUUACCUAAUACGUGAGUAUUUUGACGUUACCGACAGAAUAAGCACCGGCUAACUCUGUG